ACACACCCCUGAGCUCACUGCUCCAGCCGCACAGCAGGGGCUGAAGGCAGCCACACCAGGGUAGGAGCUGGGGCGCACUGACAGAGCCCCAACCGACAGCUUCGGGGCUCAGCCGCUGCCCGCCAAAGACAGUGUGACACAGGGCUGUCACACAAGUGUCCAGGGGGUACCAACAGCAAACCAAGCGAGGCACCAGCACCGGCUGGGCUCCACGCCUGGGCGCAGCCGUGGAUGCCCACUGUGUCGGCAGGCAGGAGCUGGGCACGGGCGCGUGGGGAAAGCCCCAAUGUGUUUUACCACCCUCGGCAUAAAACAAUAAACUGCUGUCCUCAUGUCUAGUCUCAGUGUGCCCUCUUUUAUAUGAAAACCCUAUGUGCUAUUACCACAGCAGGGUCUGCUACAAGGCCCUAGCUUUACUUGCUGCUGCUGAGGUUUAGAAAAGCAUGACAGCCACGUGGGCUACAACGAGCUGAGGAGGUACGUGAAGGUGUCUCAGAGUGAGCUACAGUAGCAAGGCGACUUUCACUACACUGUGAAACUCUGCAGCCAACCAGUGGCUCUUCCUAUAUAUUUCUUCCAGCAGGAACCCAUGGUUUCUUCUUCUAAGAGGAAAACAGAAACUGAGUAUACUUGAGUAAUACCAAGUAUUGGUAGGCAUGGCAUGGGAGGGCAGCGGCAGCCUUGUACCUUUUCUCAGCACUUUUUUGCUCAGCUCAGGUCCCCAUCACUGAUGGCAGGCUUUCCCUACUACCUACACCAGACCACUCUCUAAAAGGUAAUAGACGCUUCACUGUUAGAUUACAGUGACCUUUUUUUUUUCAGGAGGAUAGACGAAGUCCAUAUCCUUUUCUCUGUGACAGGAUUUUAUGAUCAUUUGUUGUCCCUAAGGCCCUAAAGUCUACAGCAGGCUGCAGGCCAGACCAGACGUGCCCAUAGCACAGCCACCACAGAACAGCCCAGGUCCUGGACAUAACCCUGGGAGCAUAAAACUCUGUGAAACCAGUUUCCCUAAGCCAGCCUGGGAAGGAGAGCGAGACAGCCCCCACAGAGCUCCUGGCCACCAAACCAGGUCACUCCCAGCUUCUGAGCAUUUCAUUUUCUCUUGGGCAGCCAGACACUACCAUGCAGCUUACAACAGAGGGUCCCCAGCAGUCCCCCAUAUUCCGUGCAAACAAAAUAAUGUGAGCAAAGGAGAGCGAAACCCUCUGGGCUGCCUUUGCCUGCAGACAUGUUAAGCAGCGCUGGUCCCAGUGUCAAUGCCUGAGGAAUGCCCCUUGGCACUGGUCUCCACUUGGCCAUUGAGCUUUUGAUUGCAACUCUUUCAGCACGACCAUCCAGCAAAUUGCUUAUACACCACAUCACUGAUCUACACUUGGGUGACUGGAUCUGUAGUCUCAAUUUGCAUCGUAUCAUAAAUUUGCUACCAUGACUUUUGUCUCUCUCUUCACUAUUUUUGAUAUGGAAAGCCAUCGUGCUUCAACAUUCCUCGUGUUUAAGUAUGUUUAAGUAUGAAACUACAUGUUUAAGUAGUUUCACCAUCAUGGAACAUCAGAACUAAGAAGACAUUUUCUAUUCUGUGGAAGUUUGAGAAGCUGAUGAAAGGCUUUUGCCUAAUAUCCUCAUUCUACCAAAGAAUUAAUGCGCAACAGAUUACUUGAAGAGAUUUAAUAAACUGGGACAAUACUGGCUGGUCUGACAGGCCAGUUUCUUUCAUAUGGUACAUUAGUCAGAGUUCGGUUUCUGUCUUCUGGAAGUUGAUUUUGCUUGCAAUUCAGACUCUGGGACCCAUCUUCAAAUGUAUCUGCACUAGUGGAUACUGGACCUUUAAAGAGCCCAAUCACAUGAACAGCCUGGAAAGAGUCCCCUGGAAGCACAAGGCCAUUAUCUGAUUCAGUUUCAAACUGGAGCCCCAUUAUAAAAAAGUAUUACUCUUUGGAACAUAGUCUGUCCUCCUAGGGGUGCUUUUUACCAUUUUCAACAUGAGAUAAAUGAUCUGGAAGACCAAGAGCAUGGUAAACAGGCCAAAAUUUGAGAGUUAAUACGUUGUUGGUUAUUUAUUGUAACAAUUAUAUUAUGCCUGUGCUUUCAAGGAUGCGGCAAUUAAUAAAGUCCCUUAACACACGA
Long non-coding RNA from Falco peregrinus (peregrine falcon), 2124 nucleotides. RefSeq lists it as uncharacterized. The record is from RefSeq and is a predicted model, not a curated record. Lineage: Eukaryota; Metazoa; Chordata; Aves; Falconiformes; Falconidae. The transcript is spliced from 2 exons.